GAACUCUCUCAAGUGCUGGAAACAGUCCGAGGGCUGUUCUUGAAAGCGCAUUCUCUGCCGGGCUUAGGCGGUCACAAGACUUGGACAUCCAUGUUCAAAACCAUCCGCACGGCAAUUAGCCGACACAGGUCAGUUUCUAGCCCGUCGGCCACUGAGAAACACCCCUGCCUUCAACAGGUCUCGCAACUUUGGAAACUUAGUUCACAUACAGUUGCGAGCAUUGGAUAACCUCCCUUUCCCCAAAUGGAAACCUCAGCAUUACUCUCUCCUAUCCAAAUUCGACAUUGUAACAUUGUUUUUCCUAAACAGGUAUAAGGAGUAAAGUGGUGUUCUUAGCCCACAUUCAGUGAUGGUUUUAGACUUAACGGAUGGUUGAUGUUGCAAGGAGGGGCACAUGCCAAACGGAGCGAACAGCAGUGGAAGAACUUAAACCAAAGAUGUCAACAGUUGCCUACCACCCACUCGAAAUCGAUUGUAUUACCUUCAAGAAGCUCGCUGAACGUAUAAAACGGGACGCAUGAUAUCAAGACUCAGAAGACUUGCUGCAGACAACGGAAUCUUCUCCCAAAACGCGAAACAACUGACAACGUCUAGAGAGAUUUGAUACAGACCACUCGCGUCCACUUUUUAGGACAUAAGCCUCCUUUAAUACAUUAAACUAGAAUAGCCAUGCAGGCAGUGAGAAAAUGCCACAUACUGUCCAGUUUAUUCCUUCUGCUGAUCAGCUCGGGCCAGUGCAUGGACAGCAAGGAGGUGAGGCAGAAAGAGAGAAGGAUCCUGCUGGACCAUAUCUUACAGGUUAACGGAGACAGCCAAUGGGGGGACAAGCCUUCAGUCUCCAGUCGCUAUAACAGUGGUCUCUUCCCCGCAGCCCAAGACAUGAACUUCUCCUCUGGAGAAAAGCCUUUAUAUGUUCCUAGGCUGGAUAACAGCAAACCCAUAGAUAAUGUCCCAAGAGAUAUAAACCUGAAAGACAAGUUCAUAAAGCAUUUCACAG
Salmo salar (Atlantic salmon) is the source of this 997-nucleotide long non-coding RNA. RefSeq annotates it as protein ALKAL-like. NCBI's taxonomy places the organism in Eukaryota, Metazoa, Chordata, Actinopteri, Salmoniformes, Salmonidae. The record is from RefSeq and is a predicted model, not a curated record.